ACACAGCUCGCCAGGCGCGUCACAGCACCGCCGGCGCCUCGCCCGCGCCCGCCCACCACGCGCGCCAGCCGCUCGCGCUCGGCAACCGCUUCACCACGCUGCAGGACGACAGCUAGCCAGGUGCGUCACAGGACACAGCUAGCCAGGUGCGUCACAGGACACAGCUCGCCAGGCGCGUCACAGCACCGCCGGCGCCUCGCCCGCGCCCGCCCACCACGCGCGCCAGCCGCUCGCGCUCGGCAACCGCUUCACCACGCUGCAGGACGACAGCUAGCCAGGUAGCAAGAAUCAGCUCUGUGAAGCGCAGCAGUAAAGUGAAGUGUCAAAAUGGACUUGUAAGCAAAGCCUGGGCAUAGCAUAUACACCCACACAUUCUAUAUGUAAAGCAAAAUAGAACAAUACAGUGCAUUUCCUACGGUGUUGCCACUCUAGUAUCGAGACAGUUGCUCUACGACAUGGCAAUGUUCAACGUUAAACUUUUUAGUGCAAUAUCUAAAAGCCUGGCCACUUUUUUUAUUUUUAUAAAGUUUUUAAAUAUAAAAAAAGGUUCUAACACAAUUUGUAGACAAUAAUCAUUGCCUGAUUCGAGCAUUAAAAAAACAUUCAAACGCGUUAAAUCAUUAAAAAGCGUAAACAAAGCAACUGUCUUUUAGCAAAGUGUUAAAAUGAGAGUGAAAAAUCUACAUUUGUUAUUUUUUAUGUUUAUAUUGAAAACUUAUGGCAGUGUUUUGUAUGCGUGGUAAGGGACGUUUAGGAAAUUUCGACGAAAAUGCAACUUAUGAAUAUGCCGAAACCUUGAAUGUAAAAUAAAGCGUGGACAUCAAGAAAAUUUUAAUUAUUAAGAAUAAGAAAUCAUUAAAAAUAGAAAGGCGUUUAAAACUUUGGCUCCAUUACGGAUGAAAUGUUUGGUUACCUAAAAUUGUUUUUAAUAUUGCUGUAUGAAUCGGCAAAUCCUUCGGAACAUGUUGUACCAUAGUAAUAAAUUAUGUAUUUAAACUU
This is a long non-coding RNA of Ostrinia nubilalis (European corn borer), 999 nucleotides long. RefSeq lists it as uncharacterized. The record is from RefSeq and is a predicted model, not a curated record. Lineage: Eukaryota; Metazoa; Arthropoda; Insecta; Lepidoptera; Crambidae. The transcript is spliced from 2 exons.